This is a long non-coding RNA of Drosophila erecta, 970 nucleotides long. RefSeq lists it as uncharacterized. The record is from RefSeq and is a predicted model, not a curated record. Lineage: Eukaryota; Metazoa; Arthropoda; Insecta; Diptera; Drosophilidae. The transcript has 4 exons.
UAUUCGUCUUUGUAUGCAUAUGUUUGGAUAUGAUGAUAUUUUAUCAACUUUAGUGCUCUCAAUCCCUAACAUAUUUGAUCAUAAAUAUAUCCAAAAUUAUAAAAAAUCUGAACAUUCUGAAUAAUUUACAAUCUAAACAUGUGUCAUAAUUUUGUUUGUAGAAAGCAUGGAACGAACUCAAGACAAAUUAUUUACGGACCUGCUUACUAGACUUGGGCAUUUAAAAGCCCUUCCCCAUCUCCAAGGUACCGGCUUCAAAAACGUCAAACAUUAUAAGGCCUUGUCUUACCUGUAGCCUACAGCUGCGCUUACCUUCGAUGACCACACAUUAAUCCCCUUCAACACGUGUACCACCUGACAUCGAUUUAUGUAAGUAUUCCAGUUUACUUGCAAGAGAAAAAGUAAGCGAAUGGUCACCUGUCGGGAAUAGAGUCAAGGCCAGUACUAAGUAGCCUAAAUACGUAAUGACGAAUACACGGCAUUUGCAUCACUGCCGGCUACGUAUAGCCAUAUAUUUGGAAUUUGUCUGCUCUAGCACUUGGUAAUUGGCAGCCUGGCGACCGCCGAUCGAUAACAAUAAAAUUGUUAAAAGCGCAAAAUGCCGCAAAGUGUGUAAUUUGUUGAGCCCGAAGAGGGAGAACGUCUGACGACGGCGGCUAGAGACCCAACCAGACUGUAUUUGAAUCAUCAAUGGCGUGUUUAAGCAGUUUGUCAGCGCCACGUGGCGGAAGGCUGUUUCGGUCGGGCUUUCUAGUUUGCUGGCAACAGCAGGCAGGCGGUGGUGGGUGGCUGGUCGCACUGGUUUAGGGACACUCAGAAAAACAUCCGAAGAAUAUAGAGAUUGCGGAGGAAACCGUUAAUAAUAGGAAGAAAAUAUUCCUACAUAUAUGAAAUCAUUUUUAUUUCAGUGUGGUUGAACGGCUGCAAGAACAUCGAUUAUAAACGAGGAUGAGGAUGGACGAGGGCCGUG